AUACCUUUCUCGGCUUUUUGGCUAAGAUAAAGUGUAGUAUCUGUUCCUGUAACUAAAGCUGUUGGGGCAUGCCUAUUGAUCUUAAAUCAAAUAUGUUGUUUAAUUAUGCAUAUUUUGAGGGGGAGGGGCCACUACAGUAGCUUGCUACUGUGCCUCUCGUGUGUCGCCCAAGCCUUACACUACAGCUAGGGGUGCACAUGGUCG
This is a small nuclear RNA of Arachis duranensis, 204 nucleotides long. RefSeq annotates it as U2 spliceosomal RNA. The record is from RefSeq and is a predicted model, not a curated record. NCBI's taxonomy places the organism in Eukaryota, Viridiplantae, Streptophyta, Magnoliopsida, Fabales, Fabaceae. The transcript has a single exon.